CGCGCUGUGAUGGAAGAGAGGGAGGAAAGACGGAGUCGUCUAUGUCUACUUCAUGUCUACAGGUUCCGGUCCUCUUGGAGAACUCUGUAGACAGGGGACCCACACCGUGCCCCGAGCCGCCGCUGAACCCCAUUUGCUGGCCCUAUCCCGUCUCUGAUGCUCCACCAUCCUGCUCUCCACCACCCUUCCGUUCCAAGAGGGCUCUGCAUCCUUUGUACAUACUCUUGCUAUCAGCCAGCUCAAGCUGGUUGCUGGCACCUGUAGCCCAAGGGUUUCAUCUAACACAUGCUCAGAACUUCCACUUCAGCACCGGCCUCUCUCCUGGGGGUCUGCCCUUCAGGAAACUGCCAGAGACCUAAGAGGUGUGAAUGAGCCUGCUGACAUUAAACUCAGGAGCCAA
This is a long non-coding RNA of Mus musculus (house mouse), 400 nucleotides long. RefSeq annotates it as predicted gene, 29993. The transcript has 2 exons. Lineage: Eukaryota; Metazoa; Chordata; Mammalia; Rodentia; Muridae. The record is from RefSeq and is a predicted model, not a curated record.